This 253-nucleotide ribosomal RNA is filed under the name uncultured bacterium. RNAcentral's name for it is "partial 16S ribosomal RNA". It matches the Rfam family "Bacterial small subunit ribosomal RNA", at positions 524 to 776 of the family's 1533-position model. The record is from RNAcentral.
UACGUAGGUGGCAAGCGUUGUCCGGAAUUACUGGGUGUAAAGGGAGCGCAGGCAGGAAGCCAAGUCAGCUGUGAAAACUACGGGCUUAACUUGUAGACUGCAGUUGAAACUGGUUUUCUUGAGUGAAGUGGAGGUUGGCGGAAUUCCGAGUGUAGCGGUGAAAUGCGUAGAUAUUCGGAGGAACACCGGUGGCGAAGGCGGCCAACUGGGCUUUAACUGACGCUGAGGCUCGAAAGUGUGGGGAGCAAACAGG